RNAcentral lists this ribosomal RNA (445 nucleotides) under Streptococcus sp. oral taxon 071. Its description in RNAcentral is "bacterial SSU rRNA". It matches the Rfam family "Bacterial small subunit ribosomal RNA", at positions 28 to 465 of the family's 1533-position model. Lineage: Bacteria; Bacillati; Bacillota; Bacilli; Lactobacillales; Streptococcaceae. The record is from RNAcentral.
GACGAACGCUGGCGGCGUGCCUAAUACAUGCAAGUAGAACGCUGAAGGAGGAGCUUGCUUCUCUGGAUGAGUUGCGAACGGGUGAGUAACGCGUAGGUAACCUGCCUGGUAGCGGGGGAUAACUAUUGGAAACGAUAGCUAAUACCGCAUAAAAUUGAUUAUCGCAUGAUAAUCCAUUGAAGGGUGCAAAUGCAUCACUACCAGAUGGACCUGCGUUGUAUUAGCUAGUUGGUGGGGUAACGGCUCACCAAGGCGACGAUACAUAGCCGACCUGAGAGGGUGAUCGGCCACACUGGGACUGAGACACGGCCCAGACUCCUACGGGAGGCAGCAGUAGGGAAUCUUCGGCAAUGGACGGAAGUCUGACCGAGCAACGCCGCGUGAGUGAAGAAGGUUUUCGGAUCGUAAAGCUCUGUUGUAAGAGAAGAACGAGUGUGAGAGUGGA